RNAcentral lists this ribosomal RNA (263 nucleotides) under uncultured Staphylococcus sp. RNAcentral describes it as "partial 16S ribosomal RNA". It matches the Rfam family "Bacterial small subunit ribosomal RNA", at positions 99 to 355 of the family's 1533-position model. The record is from RNAcentral. Lineage: Bacteria; Bacillati; Bacillota; Bacilli; Caryophanales; Staphylococcaceae.
CGGACGGGUGAGUAACACGUGGAUAACCUACCUAUAAGACUGGGAUAACUUCGGGAAACCGGAGCUAAUACCGGAUAAUAUAUUGAACCGCAUGGUUCAAUAGUGAAAGACGGUUUUGCUGUCACUUAUAGAUGGAUCCGCGCCGCAUUAGCUAGUUGGUAAGGUAACGGCUUACCAAGGCAACGAUGCGUAGCCGACCUGAGAGGGUGAUCGGCCACACUGGAACUGAGACAUGGUCCAGACUCCUACGGGAGGCAGCAGUC